GCUAUCAGUUUCUCUACUUGUUAUAGAGUUGGUAAGCGAACAGCAUGGAUCCUGAUCAGACUGCGCGGAUGCGCAGGCUGGUCUGGAUCCAUGCUGGUCGCAAACGCAGUAUGAUGGUUUUGUCGUGACGCGGCUCAAAUAUAUUCAUACGCAAUUUAUUAAUCGAACAGAUGAGUAACCAAGCAAGUCGAUGUUGCUAACCUGUCCGCGAGAGAUUAAUUUACUUCCUGGUUGAAAAUUAUGCGUUACUUAACAUUGUUAAUCAUUCAAAGUGUUUUAUUACUUUUGAUAUAUAGGAUAUAUUAAUUUACAAAUUGAUUUUAAUCUAAAUUUGGGAUUCUUUGGUGAUUAUUCUCAGAAGACAGAUCAUGAUGGCCGACAAUAGCGGAAAUGAUAUCAAGAAUGAAGAUCAGCAUGAAAAUAAUUCAGCAGCAAGACUAAAUGACGUUGUUUUAACUGGUAAGA
This is a long non-coding RNA of Ruditapes philippinarum (Manila clam), 465 nucleotides long. RefSeq lists it as uncharacterized. The transcript has 3 exons. The record is from RefSeq and is a predicted model, not a curated record. Lineage: Eukaryota; Metazoa; Mollusca; Bivalvia; Venerida; Veneridae.